ACGAACGCUGGCGGCAGGCCUAACACAUGCAAGUCGAGCGCCCCGCAAGGGGAGCGGCGGACGGGUGAGUAACGCGUGGGAACGUACCCCUUUCUACGGAAUAGCCUCGGGAAACUGGGAGUAAUACCGUAUAAGCCCUACGGGGGAAAGAUUUAUCGGGAAGGGAUCGGCCCGCGUUGGAUUAGGUAGUUGGUGGGGUAAUGGCCUACCAAGCCGACGAUCCAUAGCUGGUUUGAGAGGAUGAUCAGCCACACUGGGACUGAGACACGGCCCAGACUCCUACGGGAGGCAGCAGUGGGGAAUCUUAGACAAUGGGCGCAAGCCUGAUCUAGCCAUGCCGCGUGAGCGAUGAAGGCCUUAGGGUUGUAAAGCUCUUUCAGUGGGGAAGAUAAUGACUGUACCCACAGAAGAAGCCCCGGCUAACUCCGU
Molecule: ribosomal RNA, 429 nt
Filed under: uncultured bacterium
Lineage: Bacteria
Description: bacterial SSU rRNA
Rfam family: Bacterial small subunit ribosomal RNA
Source: RNAcentral